This 117-nucleotide ribosomal RNA is filed under the name Sinocyclocheilus anshuiensis. Lineage: Eukaryota; Metazoa; Chordata; Actinopteri; Cypriniformes; Cyprinidae. The record is from RNAcentral.
GCCGGCAGCCAUAUCACCCUGUAGCCCAAGACUGGUUGCCCACUGAAGCUAAGCAAGGCUGAGCCUGGUCAGUACCUGGAUGGGAGACCUCCUGGGAAAACUAGGUUGCUGCUGGAA